Long non-coding RNA from Talpa occidentalis (Iberian mole), 2131 nucleotides. RefSeq lists it as uncharacterized. Lineage: Eukaryota; Metazoa; Chordata; Mammalia; Eulipotyphla; Talpidae. The transcript has 6 exons. The record is from RefSeq and is a predicted model, not a curated record.
CUUGCUUAUCUUGCCUCUUCGAGGAAGCAGGGUUACCUUCCUCUUCAAGGCUAACUGCUUCAGUUAUAACUUUUCAAGGUUGAUGUUGAUAGUCUCUGACACUUUGGUGUAUUGCUGUGUUGGAUGAGAAGGCAGGCCACUUGGAUGCAGCUCUUGGCUCUGCUACUUACUACGUCUGUCAUCUUGGAACUUUCCAGGAGCCCCUAAGCAAGUCCUUUCCCUCUCUCCCACUGUAUCCUUGUUCACGUACCUGAAGAACAAAGCAAUCACCUAUGAAGUAUUUCAAUGACAGGAUCCUCCACUCAGGAGAGCUGGGGCAAGGCUGGCUGAGGUGCUCAAGGAGCUGAGUUUGAGUUCAGGUGACCACCUGGCAGUGGAAUGAUGCUUCCUCACCUUCCAGACAUUUGAAACUUCUGGGCAGUCUUAGAAAUCACUUCAAGCCUCCAAUCCAGGAUACAGCUGCCUAGGGAAAAUCCCAGGGAAAGGUGGCAGAGAUGUCAUGGAACUGAAAGGCGAUGGAUACCUCAGUGAGCUCACUACGAGAUCUCAAAGAUUCCAAGUCACUGGCUGCUCCAAAGCAUAAAGCCACCCUCCGAGAGGCGGCAGGAAGCAAGUCUGGAGGAGGCCCCAGGUUUUGGCCAGAGGAUGGACCACCUUCUGGUGCCCUGGGGAGCUGCUGAAGGACAGUGAGGAAGAUGCUGAUGAUCCCCAGGACAGAAAUUCCGUAGCAGGAACGAAGAAGCACCUUGAGCCCAGCCCCCCUGUAAACAGAUCCUCUCUGAGCUGUGCUUCUGAACUGGACUGUUUUUGCUUGACCAUCUCCUGCACAACACGCAGUUCUGGAUGCUUUUAUAUGGUUGCCUUUCUUUCAUUUCUCCUUUCUUUUCUUUUUCUUCUCUUGGCCUUGGGAAUGACCAGAAAAGAAUUGCUUUAGAAAGUGUAAUUCUGUACUGAAAUUAACCUUGCUUAGGAACAAAUUCUGUCCCUAAGGAUUUUUUGAAUUGCAAUCCCAGGUUACCUAGUAAAUGGGGCUGCAUGGUUUGAUUUGUGUAGGACUGAUCCUCAGAUUAAAAAUACAUUUUCUUUCUUUCUUUUUAAGUGUGGAUCCAGGUAAUGGCCCGAGUCACAUUUACUUAGCUGCUGAAGCGAUCUCAAUGUGGUAUCGCUUGGAGUUGAAAUAUAAUCAAACAUAUAUUAUACCUGAGGCUCUUGAACACUAUUUGAUAUAUAUGUUAUGCUACAGAGAAACACAAACUUUGUAGGUUGUAAUUUAAUUCCUGUCUGAUCCUGCAGCCAGAGUGGUGGAGAAAUUAUAAAUAUCAAAAUUGGCUUCAAAUACCCUGAAUAUAAGCUAACCAACUGUGCGUGGAUGGCUUCAAAAUGCCAUUUCUAGGGCAAAGCAGGAAUUGGACACCUACUGAGCUCAUCAACAGUGUUGCCCAGAUCUGUCUGUGGAUCUGCCCAUGGUGGAGAAACUGGAGAACAAGGCAUGCUUCUGUGCUUGGGUUUAUGGAAAUUGUGGCAUUUCUGACCUAUGUUCUGUAACUGUGCCUGCCUUGCAAUAAAAUACCUUCAGUUGACUCAGCAACAAGGUCUCUUGUCAAUUUCCGGCAAUAUGGUGUCCUCAGUGAUUUUCUAAGAAAGCUGCGGGUAGAACUGGGAGUGGGGGACCUGCCAGAGAUCCCAGCUGGAUCCAGCAUUACUCAUUGCUCUUUGAGAAAUGUCACUAGAGCUAUUUGUUGUCUAUGCAUGGGGUCAGAGUCUGUGUUCAUCCUCUCUUCUCUUCACAUUAGGUCAACUACAGCCCCCUGUAGUCUAGCAUAACUCUGUCACACCUGUGUGCUGUCACCUGCCACCAUUCCCUAGUUCUGGAGUCCCCAUUUACUUCUGUGAGACUCUAGGACAAGUCACUGACUCUCUGAAAUUCAUUUUUCUCAUCCAACGGAGACAUGACACUCCCCAUGGUGAUGGUGACAAAUGCCUGUCAGAGGAUAUGACGUGGGGGCACUUUCCACAUGGAAAAUGUAUGGGAUGGGGCAAUGUUCAAUUAAUGUUGUUUUAUUUCUUAAUAAACAAUUGAAAGAACUUUUGAGUUCCUUGUACUUGGCCUUUAUUUGAGAGCACUGAGGAA